This 494-nucleotide ribosomal RNA is filed under the name uncultured bacterium. Its description in RNAcentral is "partial 16S ribosomal RNA". It matches the Rfam family "Bacterial small subunit ribosomal RNA", at positions 28 to 507 of the family's 1533-position model. The record is from RNAcentral.
GACGAACGCUGGCGGCGUGCUUAACACAUGCAAGUCGAACGGAAAGGCCUGCUUUCCCUUGUGGAUUGCGGGUACUCGAGUGGCGAACGGGUGAGUAACACGUGAGUGAUCUGCCCCCAACUUGGGUAUAAGCCUGGGAAACUGGGUCUAAUUCCCGAUAGGGCUGCAGGGUGGUGCCUGUGGUGGAAAACGAUUUUCUAGUGGUUGGGGAUGAGCUCGCGGCCUAUCAGCUUGUUGGUGGGGUAAUGGCCUACCAAGGCGGCGACGGGUAGCCGGCCUGAGAGGGUGGACGGCCACAUUGGGACUGAGAUACGGCCCAGACUCCUACGGGAGGCAGCAGUGGGGAAUAUUGCACAAUGGGCGGAAGCCUGAUGCAGCGACGCCGCGUGGGGGAUGACGGCCUUCGGGUUGUAAACUCCUUUCGACCGCGAGGAAGCCACCUGGUUGGAAGGGUGGUGACGGUAGUGGUAGAAGAAGCACCGACUAACUACGUG